UAGACCUUAGUUCUUCCUUUGAUCCCCUCCCCUCAUAUUUAUAGGUUUCUAAUUUCCGCUGGAUAAUGAAUAUCGCUCUUCAUUAUAAUUAUGUUAAAAGGUACCAGCAUGAUGAUUCAGAAACCCUUGAAGAUACAGUCAUAUUUUCAGCAACAGAUGGAUUUAACACUGCAGAUGGAGUGUUAAGAGUGCAGAUUAUGCCGGCGAAUGAUGAGCCUCCAAAGCUGCAGCCAAGAUUAAAGGCAGGACUGGAGUGUCUGGAGGGAGGCAAGUAUCAGCCCCAAAUACCUGCAUGCAACAGAUGCUGGCAGCAGUGACAUGGAGCUGAUGUAUGUGACUACCCAAGCUCCAGCACAUGAGGUGAUGCAAAGGGCAAAAGUCACAGUGGAUAAAUUUUCCCAACUGAAUAUAAUUCAGAGAUCCAUUUCCUAUAUCCAAACUGAUAAUACAGA
Molecule: long non-coding RNA, 452 nt
Filed under: Struthio camelus australis
Lineage: Eukaryota; Metazoa; Chordata; Aves; Struthioniformes; Struthionidae
Description: lncRNA (ENSSCUG00000003934.1)
Source: RNAcentral